RNAcentral lists this unclassified non-coding RNA (382 nucleotides) under Glossina palpalis palpalis. Its description in RNAcentral is "sequence contains ITS1". The record is from RNAcentral. Lineage: Eukaryota; Metazoa; Arthropoda; Insecta; Diptera; Glossinidae.
UUAAAUUCAUAUUUAUUGAAAAACAUUUUCAAUAAAUUUUAUUUUAUAUAUACAUUUUAAAAUUAUGUUGCGAAUGUCUUAAGGUUCAUUUUGUUAAAAUUCAUCAUUAUUGAGCGGAAUUAAAACAGGAACCAAAUUAACUUUUACCGGGCGCCCAUUUAUUUUGGACUUCGGAUUAAGUACAACAUUUAUUUUAAAUGUACAAUAUAUAUAUAUAUAUAUAUACGCNUGGCGCAUUUUCNGGCAAAAGGGUUAAAAAAAGCCUUCCNUCAAAAUCCCUUUUAUAUAUUUAUAUAAUAUUUAGCGUAUUUUUANUUACNCAUUUUUAGGCAAAAGGGUUAAAAAAGCCUUCCNUCAAAAUCCCUUUUUAAGUUAUGCACUU